This 429-nucleotide ribosomal RNA is filed under the name Chloroflexota bacterium. RNAcentral describes it as "Chloroflexi bacterium partial 16S ribosomal RNA". It matches the Rfam family "Bacterial small subunit ribosomal RNA", at positions 355 to 776 of the family's 1533-position model. The record is from RNAcentral. Lineage: Bacteria; Bacillati; Chloroflexota.
UGGGGAAUAUUGCACAAUGGGCGCAAGCCUGAUGCAGCCAUGCCGCGUGUAUGAAGAAGGCCUUCGGGUUGUAAAGUACUUUCAGCGGGGAGGAAGGGAGUAAAGUUAAUACCUUUGCUCAUUGACGUUACCCGCAGAAGAAGCACCGGCUAACACCGUGCCAGCAGCCGCGGUAAUACGGAGGGUGCAAGCGUUAAUCGGAAUUACUGGGCGUAAAGCGCACGCAGGCGGUUUGUUAAGUCAGAUGUGAAAUCCUCGGGCUCAACCUGGGAACUGCAUCUGAUACUGGCAAGCUUGAGUCUCGUAGAGGGGGGUAGAAUUCCAGGUGUAGCGGUGAAAUGCGUAGAGAUCUGGAGGAAUACCGGUGGCGAAGGCGGCCCCCUGGACGAAGACUGACGCUCAGGUGCGAAAGCGUGGGUAGCAAACAGG